GGCGGCGUGCCUAUACUGCAAGUCGAGCGACGGCCUGAAGAGCUUGCUCUCAAGAAUGUUAGCGGCGGAACGGGUGAGUAACACGUGGGUAACCUGCCCAUAAGACUGGGAUAACUCCGGGAAACCGGGGCUAAUACCGGAUAACAUUUUGAACUGCAUGGUUCGAAAUUGAAAGGCGGCUUCGGCUGUCACUUAUGGAUGGACCCGCGUCGCAUUAGCUAGUUGGUGAGGUAACGGCUCACCAAGGCAACGAUGCGUAGCCGACCUGAGAGGGUGAUCGGCCACACUGGGACUGAGACACGGCCCA
This 307-nucleotide ribosomal RNA is filed under the name Bacillus cereus. RNAcentral describes it as "bacterial SSU rRNA". It matches the Rfam family "Bacterial small subunit ribosomal RNA", at positions 38 to 333 of the family's 1533-position model. Lineage: Bacteria; Bacillati; Bacillota; Bacilli; Caryophanales; Bacillaceae. The record is from RNAcentral.